This 605-nucleotide ribosomal RNA is filed under the name uncultured marine eukaryote. Its description in RNAcentral is "SSU rRNA". It matches the Rfam family "Eukaryotic small subunit ribosomal RNA", at positions 616 to 1219 of the family's 1831-position model. The record is from RNAcentral.
CGGUUAAAAAGCUCGUAGUUGGAUCUCGGCAAGUAGAGGGCGGUAUGCCUCGUAGCAUUACUGCCCUAUUACUUGUAGUUUUGCCAGAGGUUCCUGGGUGCUCUUAAUCGAGUGUCUAGGGAUGCUGGCAGGUUUACUUUGAAAAAAUUAGAGUGCUCAAAGCAGGCUAUUACGCUUGAAUAUUCGUGCAUGGAAUAAUAGAAUAGGAAGUUGUUUCUAUUUUGUUGGUUUUCGGAAAUCGACUUAAUGAUUAAUAGGGACAGUCGGGGGCAUUUGUAUUCAAACGACAGAGGUGAAAUUCUUGGACCGUUUGAAGACAAACUACUGCGAAAGCAUUUGCCAAGAAUGUUUUCAUUAAUCAAGAACGAAAGUUAGAGGUUCGAAGGCGAUUAGAUACCGCCCUAGUUCUAACCAUAAACGAUGCCAGCUAGCGAUCUGAGGACGUUUUUUUUGUAGACUCCUCAGGAAGCUUCCGGGAAACCAAAGCGUGUGGGUUCCGGGGGAAGUAUGGUUGCAAAGCUGAAACUUAAAGGAAUUGACGGAAGGGCACCACCAGGAGUGGAGCCUGCGGCUUAAAUUUGACCCAAACACGGGGAAAUCUCACC